RNAcentral lists this small nucleolar RNA (70 nucleotides) under Microtus ochrogaster (prairie vole). RNAcentral describes it as "Small nucleolar RNA SNORD49 (ENSMOCG00000004362.1)". It matches the Rfam family "Small nucleolar RNA SNORD49". Rfam says of the family: U49 belongs to the C/D class of snoRNA which contain the C (UGAUGA) and D (CUGA) box motifs. Most of the members of the box C/D family function in directing site-specific 2'-O-methylation of substrate RNAs. The record is from Rfam by way of RNAcentral. Lineage: Eukaryota; Metazoa; Chordata; Mammalia; Rodentia; Cricetidae.
UGCUGUGAUGAGAUCGCUAUAGGAAGUGCCGUCAGAGGCGAUAACUGACGAUAACUGUUCCUGGCUGACU